UGAGUAAUGUCUGGGAAACUGCCCGAUGGAGGGGGAUAACUACUGGAAACGGUAGCUAAUACCGCACAACGUCGCAAGACCAAAGAGGGGGACCUUCUGGCCUCUUGCCAUCGGAUGUGCCCAGAUGGGAUUAUCUAGUAGGUGGGGUAACGGCUCACCUAGGCGACGAUCCCUAGCUGGUCUGAGAGGAUGACCAGCCACACUGGAACUGAGACACGGUCCAGACUCCUACGGGAGGCAGCAGUGGGGAAUAUUGCACAAUGGGCGCAAGCCUGAUGCAGCCAUGCCGCGUGUAUGAAGAAGGCCUUCGGGUUGUAAAGUACUUUCAGCGGGGAGGAAGGCGAUACGGUUAAUAACCGUGUCGAUUGACGUUACCCGCAGAAGAAGCACCGGCUAACUCCGUGCCAGCAGCCGC
RNAcentral lists this ribosomal RNA (415 nucleotides) under uncultured Enterobacterales bacterium. RNAcentral's name for it is "bacterial SSU rRNA". It matches the Rfam family "Bacterial small subunit ribosomal RNA", at positions 107 to 518 of the family's 1533-position model. The record is from RNAcentral. Lineage: Bacteria; Pseudomonadati; Pseudomonadota; Gammaproteobacteria; Enterobacterales.